This is an RNA transcript of Ceratina calcarata, 3081 nucleotides long. It is a transcript of the gene named guanine deaminase, with no coding region annotated. Lineage: Eukaryota; Metazoa; Arthropoda; Insecta; Hymenoptera; Apidae. The record is from RefSeq and is a predicted model, not a curated record. The transcript has 15 exons.
UAUACAUAUGUACCUAUAUACGUCAGCCGCUACAGCUGAUCGAAGAAAACCAACGUAAACCAUUAAACCAUUAUUAGACUAAACACGGAAACAUUACAGACUAGUCGCUGUUACUUAUUGUCUGUGCAAAAUGUACAGUCGACACAGAAACUCGAAAAUGACCGGUAAUUAAUCGGAAGUGAAUGGAGACAUACGAUCGAGAGAAAUUUUUGUUUUCCUGUGAUGUCGAGAAGUACUAUCAUGCCUUCGAUAUGUUAUUUUCGAAGGCGACAUCUCAUGAUCCUCCAAUUUCACAUUCUUUUAAUAGUACUGCUUUUUCCAGGCAGGGAGUGCACCAUGCCAGAAGCUAGCCAGGAGGGAUUAUUACAUUCUUUCAAAAGUUAUUCAGAUAUAGCGAUGUUUCAUUACACAGUUCCAAAAGAGGUGCUAAGAGCUACUUGGCAGUUUGCGGCAUUUAUGGAUGGGCAAGGUUGUCCAGAAAGAAAAGUGCACAUAUACCUGCAAUGGGGCAGUUAUCCUGUGAUAUCUGUAAAUAAUGAUACAUUCCCAAAGGAUAUGUAUCCUAUGCGUAAUCAGACUAUUACAAUUUCUGCAGUCACAACAUUUGAACCAAAAACUACUGCAGUUGUACCAAUUUAUGGCCCAGAAGCUGGAGACUGGUUUGUGGGAGCGUAUCUGUCUUAUUGGGAUGAAAAGGUUCAACAACAGGGACUUGGUCAUAAAUGCCAUUACAGUAUAGGUUCUGUAGCCAUAUGGACACAGGCAAAUAGUAUCGAAAAUGUACCUAUCGGUUACACACAUAACUUGAGAACAAAAGAAACUACUUCCUAUUACAAGAUAUACAUUCCAUCAGGAACGUGGAAUUUUCGUGUAGAUAUUUGGGGCUGCAAUUUUACUGUGCAAAAACCUCAUGAUGUACAGGAACUUUGUAUCAAAAGCUUAGCUUUGAAAGGACGUUCAUUACCUAUUUUCAACCAUUCCGAACUUGCUGAAACCGUAAACUUGACUAUGCAAGAUUCAUAUAGAUUUAGAGAAUCUUCGCCUUAUGAGGAUAGUUAUUACUACUUGAUGAUCGUCUCAGACAGUGUCAUUGAACUAAAUGUAAAAGUAACCAUUUCAGAGUGCCCGAUAAGAAUAACGGAAAAAUCUUUUGUAAGACAAUAUUUGGACGCACCUUCAUUUUCCAAAGCACUGGCUCAGUUACAUAUGAAAGAUUUAACAAAACAUCGCUUGCAUCAUACUGAAAGCAGAAAUAACGAAUCGUUUUACGGUGAAGUUUAUCUUAUGAAGAAUCAGUUUCAUGAAUCAGACGAAACAUUUGAUGAUCCAUGCGUUCCAAGAUAUCAGCUUGCUAGAAUAAAGCAUUCGCAAACAUUUUCGGGAGUUUACUUAUUGCAGGGCAGAGAAUGGUUAACAUCUUGGGUAAUGUUAACUGACGUGCAUCCGGUUGUAACACAAUUUAAUAUUUUGCCGUUAGUAGAUAUUGGUGGCACACUUGACAUAAGCGCACAUUUAGAAAUGGAUAAAGUAGUGAUAAAACAAUUAGUCAAAGUUCUAAUUUGUGUUAGACGCGGGCGAGUUCCAGAUAGAGUUAAGAGUAAUAUUGUAUGUAAAAAUCCCGAAAUGUCGAUGAACUUGUCUUCAUCUGAUAAACGCGAUGGAAAUAUAUUAAUACCGUAUCCGCAACCAGACACCUGGUAUGUUACAUUAGAUGCAACGUGCUAUUUCAACGGAAAUCCUGUUAAAUGUGAAAUGGAAGAAAUUUUAGUAUCAUUAGAUAUACGGACCAGGCAAUGUGUAUUUCCUGGAAAUUAUCCAUGUGGUCACCACGGGAUUUGUCAAGAAAUACAUCGAGAUAUCCUAUAUUAUACGGCAUGUAAAUGUUUCGAAGGAUAUAAAGGAUGGGGUUGUACAGAUGCUACUAAUGCCAAUCCAGAAUCUUCUCUUCUUGUAACAACACUGAUACUCACUUUAAGUAAUGGUUUUUUUAUACCUGCUAUAUAUUUAGCCGUUAAGCGUGGGCUGUAUACUGAGGGAUUAGUCUAUUUGGCGACUAUGCUUUUUUCGUCUUUGUACCAUGCUUGCGAUCAACAUGUUAUGACUUAUUGCGUUGCUAAAUACGAAGUUUUGCAAUACAGCGAUUUCUUUUCAAGCAUAUUAGCAUUUUGGGUGACACUCGUCGCAAUGGCCGAAAUACCAAUUCGUUUCGUAUCAUUAUGCCAUAUGUUCGGAGUUUUUAUCAUAGCUUUUGGAGUGGAAUCUAACAAGACGGGCUUAGCUAGUAUAUUAGUACCUUUGGGUAUGGGCAUUAUGAUACCAAUGGGAGCGUAUGCUUAUCGUUGUUUUCAAUUAAAAAAAUGGAAGAAACCUGAUCAAGUUUCCAAAUUGUUAACAGGUUUAACGUUGGCUAUUAUAGGCCUGUUGCUCUUCUCUUUAAUUGAAACAGAAGCUAAUUAUCAGUACGUUCACAGCGCAUGGCAUAUGAUAAUAGCGAUCUCAUUAGUAUUUCUUUUGCCACCAUCGCGGUUGGAACAAGUCGGUUCGUCGGGUAGCUCAUUCAGCGAUGAUAGUGAAUUACUCGAUUACAAAGAUCCACCGGGCAGUCCAAUUUUUACGGUGACCAGCGGCCAGGAAAAUUUGGUAAUCGCAUCAAAUUAAAAAUUACCUUGAAGAGUAGAACGGUGAUUCAGUCCAGAUAAGUAAUAUUAAUAGCAACGCGUCCAUCACGGAAUUUUUUGCAUCUUCUGGAACUUUUAAGUCUUUACAGAAAUCGCGUAAUACGUUCAAAUUCAUCUUCUUCAGACAAAACUGCCGUUUCAUUUGUUCCCAAUAGAAAAUAAAUAGUCUCUCUCGAUAAUUUCGAAACGGUGUGAAGAAGACGUUCCUUUGGUACGUAUAACGCAGUCAGACUCAAUGGUUUAUAAACCUCUUCCAUUAGAAAUGCAAUAAAUUGGUGUAAAUUUGAGAAAAUAUCAUUUCUUAAAACUGUUCAUUAUGGAAAAUGCCAGGAAGAAAAAUAGAAAACGAUAGAAGUAAGACUGUUUAAAAAAUAAAAAAUUACAUGCAUACAAAUUUUCGCUA